This 111-nucleotide ribosomal RNA is filed under the name Neotoma lepida (desert woodrat). Lineage: Eukaryota; Metazoa; Chordata; Mammalia; Rodentia; Cricetidae. The record is from RNAcentral.
GUCUAAGGCCAUACCACUCUGACCACACUCAAUCUCAUUUGAUCUUAGAAGUUAAGCAGGGUCAGGCCUGGUUAGUAGUUGAGGGGGAUAGCUGUGCUAGUGUGAUAGGUU